UUAAUGUGGCUCUUCUGAUUUCUCCAGCUCAAAGUCGCGCUUCCCCCAUUUCUGAGACAACUCACAGAAGAGGCGCUGGCCAUCUUAAAUAAGGCAAUCGAAACAUUGAAGAGAAAAUUCCAUCAAGCAAUAAGGAUUCUGGGUUAGUAGAAGAUCUCCUUAGGCAGGUACCAAAUUUUUUCUUUGAAGGUAGAAGAAGAGAACGAGAACGCGUAAAUCGUAGAACUUGUGAAGAUACGGUAUGAAAUAUAUUCAAGCUAUAAGAAGAAAUCAAGAACAUAGAACAUAGAUCUAUCCUGGGAAGAUACCAAGCUAUAUGCGAGCUUGUCAUGAGCUCACGGGAAUGGAAAGCUGGCUGAAGGAGCAUUUGACUUUCGUUACACCCCUUGUAAUCUAGCCUCGUCAGUUUGUUGACUCUUCAUGUUCAGGCACGACAAUCUCUUAUUGUCCAAGUUCAUUUCUCAUUGAUGGCUGAUCCUUGGCAUCCUGGUGGAGCAAAUGAAUGAAGGGUAGACAAGAACAAUAAAGACUUUACAUGAGAGUAUUGGUUGACUGUUGCUGAAACUUCAAAUGUUCUAGGAAUCUUUUAUUUUUAUAUAUUAUGCAAAGCUAUGUGUGCGAAAUCUUGAAUCGCCGAACAAUAUUGUAUCUUUUGAUUUUAUGAAUAUUAUCUUUUUGAUAAUUUGGAUCAUGAUUUUGUUUA
Long non-coding RNA from Nicotiana tabacum (common tobacco), 703 nucleotides. RefSeq lists it as uncharacterized. The record is from RefSeq and is a predicted model, not a curated record. NCBI's taxonomy places the organism in Eukaryota, Viridiplantae, Streptophyta, Magnoliopsida, Solanales, Solanaceae.